GCCACAAUCCAAUGCAUUUGACUAAUUAUAAGAGUUAGAGAUGGAUUAGGAGUGUUUAGGCAACA
This 65-nucleotide small RNA is filed under the name Arabidopsis thaliana (thale cress). RNAcentral describes it as "ATSL034450". Lineage: Eukaryota; Viridiplantae; Streptophyta; Magnoliopsida; Brassicales; Brassicaceae. The record is from RNAcentral.